UACGGGAGGCAGCAGUGGGGAAUAUUGCACAAUGGGCGCAAGCCUGAUGCAGCCAUGCCGCGUGUAUGAAGAAGGCCUUCGGGUUGUAAAGUACUUUCAGCGAGGAGGAAGGUGUUGAGGUUAAUAACCUCAGCAAUUGACGUUACUCGCAGAAGAAGCACCGGCUAACUCCGUGCCAGCAGCCGCGGUAAUACGGAGGGUGCAAGCGUUAAUCGGAAUUACUGGGCGUAAAGCGCACGCAGGCGGUCUGUCAAGUCGGAUGUGAAAUCCCCGGGCUCAACCUGGGAACUGCAUUCGAACUGGCAGGCUAGAGUCUUGUAGAGGGGGUAGAAUUCCAGGUGUAGCGGUGAAAUGCGUAGAGAUCUGGAGGAAUACCGGUGGCGAAGGGCGGGCCCCUGGGACAAGACUGACGCUCAGGUGCGAAAGCGUGGGGAGCGAAACAGGGAUUAGGAAUAACC
RNAcentral lists this ribosomal RNA (458 nucleotides) under uncultured bacterium. RNAcentral's name for it is "bacterial SSU rRNA". It matches the Rfam family "Bacterial small subunit ribosomal RNA", at positions 340 to 787 of the family's 1533-position model. The record is from RNAcentral.